AGUGAACGCUGGCGGUAGGCCUAACACAUGCAAGUCGAACGGCAGCACAGUAAGAGCUUGCUCUUACGGGUGGCGAGUGGCGGACGGGUGAGGAAUACAUCGGAAUCUACUUUUUCGUGGGGGAUAACGUAGGGAAACUUACGCUAAUACCGCAUACGACCUACGGGUGAAAGCAGGGGAUAUUCGGACCUUGCGCGAUUGAAUGAGCCGAUGUCGGAUUAGCUAGUUGGCGGGGUAAAGGCCAACCAAGGCGACGAUCCGUAGCUGGUCUGAGAGGAUGAUCAGCCACACUGGAACUGAGACACGGUCCAGACUCCUACGGGAGGCAGCAGUGGGGAAUAUUGGACAAUGGGCGCAAGCCUGAUCCAGCCAUACCGCGUGGGUGAAGAAGGCCUUCGGGUUGUAAAGCCCUUUUGUUGGGAAAGAAAAGCAGCAGGUUAAUACCCCGCUGUUCUGACGGUACCCAAAGAAUAAGCACCGGCUAACUUCGUG
RNAcentral lists this ribosomal RNA (492 nucleotides) under uncultured bacterium. Its description in RNAcentral is "partial 16S ribosomal RNA". It matches the Rfam family "Bacterial small subunit ribosomal RNA", at positions 29 to 507 of the family's 1533-position model. The record is from RNAcentral.